Molecule: ribosomal RNA, 359 nt
Filed under: uncultured Thermus sp.
Lineage: Bacteria; Thermotogati; Deinococcota; Deinococci; Thermales; Thermaceae
Description: bacterial SSU rRNA
Rfam family: Bacterial small subunit ribosomal RNA
Source: RNAcentral
AGGCCCGUAGCACAGGUGCUGCAUGGCCGUCGUCAGCUCGUGCCGUGAGGUGUUGGGUUAAGUCCCGCAACGAGCGCAACCCCCGCCGUUAGUUGCUAGCGGUUCGGCCGGGCACUCUAACGGGACUGCCCGCGAAAGCGGGAGGAAGGAGGGGACGACGUCUGGUCAGCAUGGCCCUUACGGCCUGGGCGACACACGUGCUACAAUGCCCACUACAAAGCGAGGCCACCCGGCAACGGGGAGCUAAUCGCAAAAAGGUGGGCCCAGUUCGGAUCGGAGUCUGCAACUCGACUCCGUGAAGUUGGAUUCGCUAGUAAUCGCGCAUCAGCCAUGGCGCGGUGAAUACGUUCCCGGGCCUU